AAGGAUCAUUAUCGAGUUAGGGUCCUCUGGGCCCCAUCUCCAACCCUUGCUUAUAUUACCACGUUGCUUUGGCGGGCCCGUCUUCGCGACCGCCGGGGACUUCUGCCCCUGGCCCGUGCCCGCCAGUAGCCCAGCCAAAUUCUAUUGAUCAGUGAUGUCUGAGUUUAGUUAUAAUAGUUAAAACUUUCAACAACGGAUCUCUUGGUUCUG
This 210-nucleotide unclassified non-coding RNA is filed under the name uncultured fungus. RNAcentral describes it as "partial contains 18S rRNA, ITS1, 5.8S rRNA, ITS2 and 28S rRNA". The record is from RNAcentral. Lineage: Eukaryota; Fungi.